This is a long non-coding RNA of Bombus pyrosoma, 756 nucleotides long. RefSeq lists it as uncharacterized. Lineage: Eukaryota; Metazoa; Arthropoda; Insecta; Hymenoptera; Apidae. The record is from RefSeq and is a predicted model, not a curated record. The transcript is spliced from 2 exons.
CGAGGCUCCACGAACAAGUAUGACGUCACUAGCUAUUCCCAGGCUACCAAUAGCGACGUUCGCCGCGCCACGUUCGCGAUGCUCGUGCCAGGGCCGACGCUACUCGUGCUAUCAAUGGGAUCUGUUUGCCAGGGUACUGUUUCCAAAGUAUGCAGUAGCGUCACUUGGCGACGAAAAUUUCAAACGAGCGGCACGCUUCGUUUCCAAGAAUCGUCGAUGACUCAUAUGGCGAGUCGUGUAGGCGGUGAACGGGGUAGCCGGAACAUAUCGAACAAGACGCAUGACUCACCAAACUGAUAUGUCGGAUAUUCGCGCCUUAACCUGCUCCCUCUGGAUGGCUAGACGUUCCACGACCUGCGGUUUCCUCCGCUUUGAAGCAUGCAGGUGCCACCUGUAUAACUUAGUGCCCAAGAUAAACGAGGAAGCUGGUUCACUUACUAGUCUCUCAUUCUCUACCUUGUUAUUAGCCGUAUGCAUAAUCAACCGUGAACUGCGACACACGGUGUCAGCCAGAUCAAAAUGAUAGAUAAAUGAUUUCUUCCUUCGCAUCUAAACAUCUAGUGCGUAUGAUACUAAGGAAGGGAUUAUCGUAAUUCGACAUGCGAUAGUUUUGCAUUUGUGCAUGAUACACGUAAAUGAGAUGGCGUGAGAGAUUUGGGAAAAAUUAAAUUAAAAUAAAGAUGUCUUCUUCAAAUGAAUUUACUACUAUUACUUAAUAAUAAUGGAUUAAUAAUAAAAUAAAGGGAUUUCAAUGGA